AUAUAAUUGUCUGAGAGUUUUUGCUACUAUAUACCUUGUUUAUUUUACAACGGUCUGCUCUGGUGAAGGAGUGUUUCAUAAGUCUCAUAAUCAAUUGAAGAGAAGCGGGCAUUCAUAACACAGAAGAUCCUUCUAGCUGCUGGUGACGAGCGUAGAGGAAGUGGAAGCAAUUGCGGAAGCUUAGUGGACCCUGUUCAUUGAAGGUACAUAUUGGAUAGAAUCGGGGAAUUUGGAGCGUAAUUGGAGCAAUCAGGAUUAGAAGAAGCAGAACUGAUCAAGUCAGAGCAUGUUUCUAUCGAACCUCCUCAGAAACCUCCUCAGAAACACCUGUCUCGAUUGAGACAUGGGUGGUUUCGAUAGAAACCAUGUCAGAAAUGCUUCCAGGGGACUUUUUAGCUAGCCUAUUUCUAUAGAAACCACUUCAUUUCGAAAGAAACACCUCAUUAAUGAAGACACAUGAUUUGAAGCUGAAAAGGCACAUGUGGACAAAUCUGUGGUCUAUUUUGAUUGGCUACCUCAUUUAGACUUGUCAUAUAGUGUAUUUUAUUCCCUUUUUGUCCUUGAACUAUAAAAGGAUCCCCUUUUUCUAUUUUUAGGGUUAUCCACUAUUAUUAGAAUUUUGUAGCCCCCAUCUUAGUUUACUAUUCUCAGCUUUGUAAAUUCCCUUUGUUCUUAGUUUUAUCAAGCUUUAUUGUGGAUUCUAGUGUUUAAUCAAUAGAAGAUUAUUGUUCCUCCUUUUA
This is a long non-coding RNA of Mercurialis annua (annual mercury), 740 nucleotides long. RefSeq lists it as uncharacterized. NCBI's taxonomy places the organism in Eukaryota, Viridiplantae, Streptophyta, Magnoliopsida, Malpighiales, Euphorbiaceae. The record is from RefSeq and is a predicted model, not a curated record. The transcript is spliced from 2 exons.